RNAcentral lists this ribosomal RNA (468 nucleotides) under uncultured bacterium. Its description in RNAcentral is "partial 16S ribosomal RNA". It matches the Rfam family "Bacterial small subunit ribosomal RNA", at positions 28 to 507 of the family's 1533-position model. The record is from RNAcentral.
GACGAACGCUGGCGGCGUGCUUAACACAUGCAAGUCGAACGGAAAGGCCCUGCUUUUGUUGGGUGCUCGAGUGGCGAACGGGUGAGUAACACGUGAGUAACCUGCCCUUGACUUUGGGAUAACUUCAGGAAACUGGGGCUAAUACCGGAUAGGAGCUCCUGCUGCAUGGUGGGGGUUGGAAAGUUUCGGCGGUUGGGGAUGGACUCGCGGCUUAUCAGCUUGUUGGUGGGGUAGUGGCUUACCAAGGCUUUGACGGGUAGCCGGCCUGAGAGGGUGACCGGCCACAUUGGGACUGAGAUACGGCCCAGACUCCUACGGGAGGCAGCAGUGGGGAAUAUUGCAAAAUGGGCGGAAGCCUGAUGCAGCAACGCCGCGUGCGGGAUGACGGCCUUCGGGUUGUAAACCGCUUUCGCCUGUGACGAAGCGUGAGUGACGGUAAUGGGUAAAGAAGCACCGGCUAACUACGUG